UUAAGUUAACAAGGGCGCAUGGUGAAUGCCUUGGCACUAGGAGCCGAUGAAGGACGGGACUAACACCGAUAUGCUUCGGGGAGCUGUACGUAAGCUAUGAUCCGGAGAUUUCCGAAUGGGGCAACCCAGCAGUUUUAAUCAACUGUUACCACUAGAUGAAUUCAUAGUCUAGUUGGAGGUAAACGCUGUGAACUGAAACAUCUCAUUAGCAGCAGGAAUAUAAAGAAAUUUCGAUUCCCUAAGUAGCGGCGAGCGAACGGGGAACAGCCCAAACCAAAGUGCUUGCACUUUGGGGUUGUAGGACUGAACAUUUGAGUUACCAAAGAACUUGAUAGUCGAAGGAUUUGGGAAAAUCCGCCAUAGAUGGUGAUAGCCCAGUAGAUUAAAUCAAAUUCUCUCAGUUCAGGAUCCUGAGUACGGCGGAACACGUGAAAUUCCGUCGGAAUCCGGGAGGACCAUCUCCCAAGGCUAAAUACUACCUAGUGACCGAUAGUGAACCAGUACCGUGAGGGAAAGGUGAAAAGCACCCCGGGAGGGGAGUGAAAUAGUUCCUGAAACCAUGUGCCUACAAUAAGUCAGAGCGCGUUAAUGCGUGAUGGCGUGCCUUUUGUAGAAUGAACCGGCGAGUUAUGAUCCCGUGCAAGGUUAAGACUAAAAAGUCGGAGCCGUAGCGAAAGCGAGUCUGAAAUGGGCGUUUUGAGUACGAGGUUAUAGACCCGAAACCAGGUGACCUAUCCAUGUCCAGGUUGAAGGUGCGGUAAAACGCACUGGAGGACCGAACCCGUGUAAGUUGAAAAUUGCUGGGAUGAGGUGUGGAUAGCGGUGAAAUUCCAAACGAACUUGGAGAUAGCUGGUUCUCUCCGAAAUAGCUUUAGGGCUAGCCUCGGAAUUAGGAUCAUGGAGGUAGAGCACUAUUUGGACUAGGGGCCCGUCUUGGGUUACUGAAUUCAGAUAAACUCCGAAUGCCAUUGAUUCAUAUCCGGGAGUCAGACGAUGAGUGAUAAGAUCCACCGUCGAAAGGGGAACAGCCCAGACCAUCAGUUAAGGUCCCUAAAUGUAUGCUAAGUGGAAAAGGAUGUGGAGUUGCAUAGACAACUAGGAUGUUGGCUCAGAAGCAGCCACCAUUUAAAGAGUGCGUAAUAGCUCACUAGUCGAGUGAUCCUGCGCCGAAAAUGUACCGGGGCUAAGCAUACUACCGAAACCAUGGAUGCGACCAUUAGGUCGCGUGAUAGGAGAGCGUUCUAAGGGCGGUGAAGCAAGAUCGUGAGGACUUGUGGAGCGCUUAGAAGUGAGAAUGCCGGUAUGAGUAGCGAAAGAUAGGUGAGAAUCCUAUCCACCGAAUGACUAAGGUUUCCUGGGGAAGGCUCGUCCUCCCAGGGUUAGUCGGGACCUAAGUCGAGGCCGAGAGGCGUAGACGAUGGAUAACAGGUUGAGAUUCCUGUACUAGUUAAGUGCGUUUGAGCAAUGGAGGGACGCAGGAGGCUAAGAUGUGCAUUCUGUUGGAUUAGAAUGUCCAAGCAGUAAGUCUUGUGAAGAGUCAAAUGCUUUUCACUUUAAGGACAAGCUGUGAUGGGGAGCGAAAUUUAGUAGCGAAGCGUCUGAUGUCACACUGCCGAGAAAAGCUUCUAGUGAGUACUUAACUACCCGUACCGCAAACCGACACAGGUAGUCGAGGAGAGAAUCCUAAGGUGAGCGAGUGAACUCUCGUUAAGGAACUCGGCAAAAUGACCCCGUAACUUCGGGAGAAGGGGUGCUGAUCGCAAGAUCAGCCGCAGUGAAUAGGCCCAGGCGACUGUUUAUCAAAAACACAGGUCUCUGCAAAAUCGUAAGAUGACGUAUAGGGGCUGACGCCUGCCCGGUGCUGGAAGGUUAAAAGGAUGGGUUAGCUUCGGCGAAGCUCAGAAUUGAAGCCCCAGUAAACGGCGGCCGUAACUAUAACGGUCCUAAGGUAGCGAAAUUCCUUGUCGGGUAAGUUCCGACCCGCACGAAAGGCGUAACGAUCUGGGCACUGUCUCAACGAGAGACUCGGUGAAAUUAUAUUGUCCGUGAAGAUGCGGACUACCCGCGACAGGACGGAAAGACCCCAUGGAGCUUUACUGUAGCUUGAUAUUGAGUGUUUGUACAGCUUGUACAGGAUAGGUAGGAGCCAUAGAAACCGGAACGCUAGUUUCGGUGGAGGCGUUGGUGGGAUACUACCCUCGCUGUAUGACCACUCUAACCCGCACCACUAAUCGUGGUGGGAGACAGUGUCAGGUGGGCAGUUUGACUGGGGCGGUCGCCUCCUAAAAAGUAACGGAGGCGCCCAAAGGUUCCCUCAGAAUGGUUGGAAAUCAUUCGCAGAGUGUAAAGGCACAAGGGAGCUUGACUGCGAGACAGACAGGUCGAGCAGGGACGAAAGUCGGGCUUAGUGAUCCGGUGGUACCGUAUGGAAGGGCCAUCGCUCAACGGAUAAGAGCUACCCUGGGGAUAACAGGCUUAUCUCCCCCAAGAGUCCACAUCGACGGGGAGGUUUGGCACCUCGAUGUCGGCUCAUCGCAUCCUGGGGCUGUAGUCGGUCCCAAGGGUUGGGCUGUUCGCCCAUUAAAGCGGUACGCGAGCUGGGUUCAGAACGUCGUGAGACAGUUCGGUCCCUAUCCGUCGCGGGCGUAGGAAAUUUGAGAGGACCUGUCCUUAGUACGAGAGGACCGGGAUGGACAUACCUCUGGUGUACCAGUUGUGCCGCCAGGCGCAUCGCUGGGUAGCUACGUAUGGAUGUGAUAAACGCUGAAAGCAUCUAAGUGUGAAACACACCUCGAGAUGAGAUUUCCCAUUCCUUUAUGGAAGUAAGACCCCUGAAAGAUGAUCAGGUAGAUAGGUUAGAAGUGGCAGUGCGGUGACGCAUGAAGCGGACUAAUACUAAUCGGUCGAGGACUUAACCAA
Molecule: ribosomal RNA, 2919 nt
Filed under: Lactobacillus acidophilus
Lineage: Bacteria; Bacillati; Bacillota; Bacilli; Lactobacillales; Lactobacillaceae
Also listed under: 1 other name
Description: bacterial LSU rRNA
Rfam family: Bacterial large subunit ribosomal RNA
Source: RNAcentral